This 324-nucleotide ribosomal RNA is filed under the name Triticum aestivum (bread wheat). RNAcentral's name for it is "partial small subunit ribosomal RNA". The record is from RNAcentral. Lineage: Eukaryota; Viridiplantae; Streptophyta; Magnoliopsida; Poales; Poaceae.
AUGGCUCUAAGAUUUGGUUUAUAUCUGGCACAAAAUGCAGGAUGCAACCGCCUGGUAAUUAACUCUGAUAAUUUGGAAGUCAUCGACACGAUGAAGAAUGGGGGACAAUUUGCGAAAACAGCGGCGGCAAUUUUCGAUGACUACUAUUUUUUGGUUUGUGACUUUCCCCUUAGUAGUUUUAAACACUGUAAUAGAGAAGCGAAUAGGGUUGCUCACGAAUUAGCUAGAUUAGCUAGAGUUUCCGCAAUGAAUGAGUAGUUUAAGGAGCCUAUGAACGAUAUUGUAUCUUUUCUUAUAGACGAUAUGACCGUUAUUUUCAAUUAA